This 490-nucleotide ribosomal RNA is filed under the name uncultured bacterium. RNAcentral describes it as "partial 16S ribosomal RNA". It matches the Rfam family "Bacterial small subunit ribosomal RNA", at positions 28 to 507 of the family's 1533-position model. The record is from RNAcentral.
GAUGAACGCUCGCGAUAGGCUUAACACAUGCAAGUCGAGGGGCAGCAUGGUCUUAGCUUGCUAAGACUGAUGGCGACCGGCGCACGGGUGCGUAACGCGUAUGCAACUUGCCUCACAGAGGGGGAUAACCCGUCGAAAGACGGACUAAUACCGCGUACACUUGGGAUAGGGCAUCCUGACCCAAGGAAAUGAAAUUCGCUGUGAGAUAGGCAUGCGUCCCAUUAGCUAGUUGGUGAGGUAACGGCUCACCAAGGCGACGAUGGGUAGGGGAACUGAGAGGUUGAACCCCUAAAAUGGUACUGAGACACGGACCAGACUCCUACGGGAGGCAGCAGUGAGGAAUAGUGGGCAAUGGGCGAGAGCCUGAACCAGCCAAGUCGCGUGAAGGAUGACUGUCUUAUGGAUUGUAAACUUCUUUUAUACGGGAACAACAAGAGAAACGGGUGGCUCCCUGCAGGUACCGUAUGAAUAAGCAUCGGCUAACUCCGUG